Molecule: microRNA, 22 nt
Filed under: Danio rerio (zebrafish)
Lineage: Eukaryota; Metazoa; Chordata; Actinopteri; Cypriniformes; Danionidae
Description: Dre-Mir-7-P2b_3p* (star (passenger))
Source: RNAcentral
CAACAAAUCACGGUCUGCCCUA